UUUCUGAACAAUAGAAAAGCUGGUAGUUUGUUUGUAUCCCUCUUUUAAAUAUGUGUUUCGACGUGUGGUUUAAUAACAUAAGUUAGCCUGUGCUCUUGACGACAUGCUACCAAAGAAGAAGGGAGUUGGCAAAAUACUUCCGAAUUUUGUCAUAACAGCUUUAGGACCCCCAGCUAAAUGUAGAAAAUGAAAAGCAAACACCUUAAUUCAAUAGUUGGUUAAGUCGACUGCGAAUGUUAACUGGAAUGAAGACAUGAAAACAAAUUAAGAGAAGAAUUGUACCAUAAUAUUUAUACAGGACGCAGAGGAACACAUCAGAUGUUGUGAAGGAGUUAGUUUUUGGUAUGUGAAUUAUGCAAAUUAUUUUCUGGCCUGCCGUUAAAAUGGUUGCAUUACAAUGGACAGAAAUACCACUCUGGCCUAAUCUAUCCCUUUACGAUACAUCACAAAGAUUGACUGGCGAAAUUUUCAAAAAAAUUUGUUUCAGAAACCUGGACUUAUCCAAA
Molecule: long non-coding RNA, 506 nt
Organism: Stomoxys calcitrans (stable fly)
Lineage: Eukaryota; Metazoa; Arthropoda; Insecta; Diptera; Muscidae
Exons: 3
Source: RefSeq, a predicted model, not a curated record